GAUGAACGCUGGCGGCGUGCCUAAUACAUGCAAGUCGAGCGGACGGACGAGACGCUUGCUUCUCUGAUGUUAGCGGCGGACGGGUGAGUAACACGUGGAUACCCUACCUAUCAGACUGGGAUAACUUCGGGAAACCGUAUCUAAUACCGGAUAAUAUUUUGAACCGCAUGGUUCAAAAGUGAAAGACGGUCUUGCUGUCACUUAUAGAUGGAUCCGCGCUGCAUUAGCUAGUUGGUAAGGUAACGGCUUACCAAGGCAACGAUGCAUAGCCGACCUGAGAGAGUGAUAGGCGACACGGGAGGUGGAACACGGUCAAUAGUACUGCGAGAGGCACCAGUAGGGAAUCUGACGCAACAGGCGAAAGCAUGACGGAGCAACGCGGCGUGUGAGAUGAAGGUCUUCGGUGCGUAAAACCGUGUUAUGGGGUAAAAACAGAUGUGUAAGGAACUGAGCACAGCGUGACGGUACCUAAUAAAAAAGCCACGGCUAACUACGUG
This 497-nucleotide ribosomal RNA is filed under the name uncultured bacterium. RNAcentral's name for it is "partial 16S ribosomal RNA". It matches the Rfam family "Bacterial small subunit ribosomal RNA", at positions 28 to 507 of the family's 1533-position model. The record is from RNAcentral.